CGUAUUAAUUACUCUUCCCACGGCCAUCUAAUUAAAAAUCAGUAGGAAAAUAUGCUUUGUGCCAAAAAAAAUAACAAAGACACGUAUUCUCGCACAUUGGAGCUCGAUUCCUCGCGCGCCUGUUCUGUUCCAAAUCGUGAAGCCAGUGAUUGAAUGACACGAAGGCUUGUUUUGGUUGGUUGAUAUGUACCCUUUGCUGCUAUCUAUUUUUCUUAUCACUCCCUCAAAGCAGAGGCCAGAGAGAAUGAAGGCUCUCUUCUUCCAAUUUCCCUCUCAGAUUUCAUCGCCUGAAACUCCCAACAUUAUCCCUCAAAACAAACUCCAAAUUGUAUCCAAUCACAAACCCAAUAAUGUUUCUUGGGUUUCUUCUUUACCUUCCUCUCAAGUGAUCCUUCACAAGUCUCUUCCUCUAGCUGCUGCUCUGCUUCUCUCUGCAGGUCCAGCUAAAGCAGGACUUAUGUCUGGAUUUUCUGGCCUGGAAUCAAUCCCUGGUCCCCAGAUUCCUCAAAUUGAUUUUCUUAACCGGUUCAAUGGUUUGAUUCUGCAAUUUCCCUGUUCAAUUUCCGCUUUAUAUAUGAAAUUAGAUUCUUUUUCACCCCUUUUUAACUCUUUUAACUGUCAUGUAUUCUGUUGCAGAAGAAAACCAGAAGAAGUACGCAGAAAAUGAUGCAAGAUUCAAAUCAUCUCCCAUACUUAAGGAGCUACUAGAACGAUCCAAGAAGAACAAAGAAAAGUACUUUAAAAGUUUUUUUUUUCAUAUAAUUAUUUUGGUUAUAUGAUGCACAGACCUAGUACUUUCAAAUGUGUCUAAUUUUGAAUAUAUUGGCAAGUGAUAUUAUCUUCUAGUUUAAAGCAGAAGCAAAGUGUUACCCUGCAAUAUAAUCUUGGUUGGUUCUAUGUCAGGGAGAGGAAAAAUGAAAUAAAUUUAUCAGGAAAUGAAAUUUGUGUAAAUUAAGCGCACAUAUCUCUCAAAUCACAUAUUAGGAAAUGCUAAUUAACAUGAUGAAAUUUGCAGGAAUCGUCAAGAACUGCUAGAUAAGUACUGCAUUCGCGGGGCAGAAUGGGGUGUUGGAGAUUGUUCAACAGAUGGAAUGUCGCCUGAGGAAAGAGAGAGCUUCAUUUCUAUGCUAAAAGAGAAAGCUGGAAUCAAAUAAUUGAAGCCAGUUUUAGUAAAUACAUUUGUUAGUUUUUCUCCUAAAUUAUAUUUGAGCCGGUGGGAAAUUAUUGCGUAGAUUUGAUUAUUGUGAAUCUCAUAACAUGAUAGCAUCUACAUAU
Molecule: unclassified non-coding RNA, 1275 nt
Filed under: Hevea brasiliensis (rubber tree)
Lineage: Eukaryota; Viridiplantae; Streptophyta; Magnoliopsida; Malpighiales; Euphorbiaceae
Source: RNAcentral